CAGCGCCACGAGUGGCAAUCAUUUUUAUUUGGCCUAAAGCGUCCGUAGCUGGUUGAGUAAAUCUUUUGUGAAAUCGUUGGGCUUAACUCAACGGCGUGCAGGAGAGACUGCUAAGCUAGGGACCGGGAAGAGUCAGAGGUAUGCUGUGGGGAGCGGUAAAAUGCUAUAAUCCUCAGUAGACCACCUAUGGCGAAGGCAUCUGACUGGAACGGGUCCGACAGUGAGGGACGAAAGCCAGGGGAGCAAACCGGAUUAGAUACCCGAGUAGUCC
Molecule: ribosomal RNA, 271 nt
Filed under: uncultured archaeon
Lineage: Archaea
Description: partial 16S ribosomal RNA
Rfam family: Archaeal small subunit ribosomal RNA
Source: RNAcentral